UACGUAGGGUCCGAGCGUUGUCCGGAAUCACUGGGCGUAAAGGGCGCGUAGGCGGGAUGGCAAGUCGGUCGUGAAAUCCUUCGGCUCAACCGAAGAACGUCGGCCGAUACUGCCGUUCUUGAGGGAUGCAGAGGAGAUUGGAAUUUACGGUGUAGCGGUGAAAUGCGUAGAUAUCGUAAGGAAGACCAGUGGCGAAGGCGGGUCUCUGGACAGUUCCUGACGCUGAGGCACGAAGGUCAGGGGAGCAAACGGG
This 253-nucleotide ribosomal RNA is filed under the name uncultured bacterium. RNAcentral describes it as "partial 16S ribosomal RNA". It matches the Rfam family "Bacterial small subunit ribosomal RNA", at positions 524 to 776 of the family's 1533-position model. The record is from RNAcentral.